AUUAUGGCUCAGGACGAACGCUGGCGGUGUGCCUCACACAUGCAAGUCGAACGGGGUAACAAUACCCAGUGGCGGACGGGUGAGUAACACGUGGGAAUCUGCCUUUAGAUGGGGGAUAGCAGGCCGAAAGGCCUAUUAAUACCGCAUAUGCCGAAAGGUGAAAGGAGCAAUCCGUCUGAAGAUGAGCCCGCGCCCGAUUAGCUAGUUGGUAAGGUAACGGCUUACCAAGGCAACGAUCGGUAGCUGGUCUGAGAGGAUGAUCAGCCACAAUGGAACUGAGACACGGUCCAUACUCCUACGGGAGGCAGCAGUGGGGAAUUUUACACAAUGGGCGAAAGCCUGAUGUAGCGACACCGCGUGAGCGAAGAAGCCCUUUGGGGUGUAAAGCUCGGUCAACAGGGACGAAAAAAAUGACGGUACCUGUGGAGGAAGCAUCGGCUAACUACGUGCCAGCAGCCGCGGUAAGACGUAGGAUGCGAGCGUUGUCCGGAUUUAUUGGGCGUAAAGAGUUCGUAGGUGGUUCGUUAAGUCUGAUGUUAAAGACUGGGGCUCAACCCUGGGAGUGCAUUGGAUACUGGCGGACUGGAGUGCAGUAGAGGCAAGCGGAAUUCCCAGUGUAGCGGUGAAAUGCGUAGAUAUUGGGAAGAACACCGGUGGCGCAAGCGGCUUGCUGGGCUGUAACUGACGCUGAGGAACGAAAGCUAGGGGAGCGAAUGGGAUUAGAUACCCCAGUAGUCCUAGCCGUAAACGAUGGAUACUAGGCGUAUCGGGUAUCGACCCCUGAUGUGCCGCAGCAAACGCGAUAAGUAUCCCGCCUGAGUAGUACGGCCCGCAGGGUGA
Molecule: ribosomal RNA, 840 nt
Filed under: uncultured bacterium
Lineage: Bacteria
Description: bacterial SSU rRNA
Rfam family: Bacterial small subunit ribosomal RNA
Source: RNAcentral